This 464-nucleotide ribosomal RNA is filed under the name uncultured bacterium. Its description in RNAcentral is "bacterial SSU rRNA". It matches the Rfam family "Bacterial small subunit ribosomal RNA", at positions 28 to 507 of the family's 1533-position model. The record is from RNAcentral.
GGUUAACGCUGGCGGCGUGCCUAACACAUGCAAGUCGAACGGUUCUAAGCGCGAGCUUAGGAUAGUGGCGAACGGGUGAGUAAAAGGUAGGAAUCUACCCCUUGGACGGAGAUAGCUACUGGAAACGGUAGGUAAACUUCGAUAAGCCCGAGAGGGGAAAGUGGUGAGACAGCCGAGGGAUGAGCCUACUCUCCGUCAGGUAGUUGGUGAGAUAAAAGCUUACCAAGCCGAUGACGGAUAACCGGUGUGAGAGCAUGAACGGUCACAAGGGCACUGAGAGACGGGCCCUACUCCUACGGGAGGCAGCAGUGGGGAAUCUUGGACAAUGGGCGAAAGCCUGAUCCAGCGACGCCGCGUGGAGGAAGAAGUCCUUCGGGAUGUAAACUUCUGAACUAGCCGAAUAAAAGGCCUGUGGACACACAGGAGAAGAAAGUAGGCUAGGAAAAGUCCCGGCUAACUACGUG